AGAAAGUUAGUCUAAAAAAGACAUUUGAUUUCGGCUCAGAAAACUGUGGUUAAAUUCCACAACUUCCUU
Molecule: transfer RNA, 69 nt
Filed under: Saurida brasiliensis (Brazilian lizardfish)
Lineage: Eukaryota; Metazoa; Chordata; Actinopteri; Aulopiformes; Synodontidae
Description: tRNA-Arg
Rfam family: tRNA
About the family: Transfer RNA (tRNA) molecules are approximately 80 nucleotides in length. Their secondary structure includes four short double-helical elements and three loops (D, anti-codon, and T loops).
Source: RNAcentral